Haliotis rubra (blacklip abalone) is the source of this 401-nucleotide long non-coding RNA. RefSeq lists it as uncharacterized. The record is from RefSeq and is a predicted model, not a curated record. The transcript has 3 exons. Lineage: Eukaryota; Metazoa; Mollusca; Gastropoda; Lepetellida; Haliotidae.
UGCGUCUGUGAUUGGAGUAUCAUGGUCUUCAAUUUUGGUCUGGGGUUUCAAAUCGAGGCUUUUUGAAACGAUUAAAGACUAUAUAAGUACCACAAAAGAGUAACAUUUUACACACAAAAAAAUAACUACAAUGAAGUUUGCUGUCCUUCUAGUGUUCGCUGCUCUUCUCGUUGCCUCACAGGCAGCACCUGAGGCGUGCGGCAGUGGUUGUGCUGCUGCCGGCUCUAACGGUCACUCCUUCUGUAACAACCUCUGCACUAACUGUACCGGCAACGUCAACUGCAACCACCACCUGGACGAGUGUGAAUGCCAUCCUCAAGAUGUUUAAGGUAUGAAGUCUUUGGAAGAGCCAAAGAAGCCAAACAUGUGACAUAGCUGACAAAUAAACUUUAAUAACAUCA